This 926-nucleotide long non-coding RNA is filed under the name Capsicum annuum. RNAcentral's name for it is "long non-coding RNA (CANN_LNC021500)". The record is from RNAcentral. Lineage: Eukaryota; Viridiplantae; Streptophyta; Magnoliopsida; Solanales; Solanaceae.
AGCCAUUACCCAAUUUAAGUGAAUAGCAGUCGUGUCCGAAGCAACCAACACCAUACUCUGUGUUAAAAAGAACCUUUUAAGAGAAACAAGACUAGAAAAACAAACAAAAGAACAAUCUUUUAACCAACAUUAUGUUGGCAUCAUGCUAAAUUUCGAAAACAACUUUUCUACCUCUGAAGUAGGGGUAAAGUCUGCAUACACUCUAUCCUCCCCACACCCACUCCCACUAUGUGGGACUACACUAGGUAUGUUACUGUUGUUGCCGUCGUACUAAACGGUUGCACAAUUCAAUUCAGAACAAAAAUUGUCUCCAUAUCAAACUUGAUAUAAAGAGUUAACCGUCUUUGUACCUAUAUAUGAUAGCAAUCCUGGAGGAGCACAUGGCUGGCACUCAGUGCAUCGAGCAAACCAACUGAACUUCUACCCAUGAUCUAUGUUGCUCGAACUCUCCAAAAUAUAGAAAAACAAACAAAAGAGCAAUCUUUUAACCAACAUUAUGUUGGCAUCAUGCUAAAUUUCGAAAACAGCUUUUCUACCCCUGACAGUACACUCUACCUCCCCUGACCCUACUUGUGGAUUUCACUGGGGUAUGCUGUUGUUAUAUUGAAUCCUUCGAAAAAGGCACUACUUUUGAAGGAUCAGAUACACACCCGACGACAUUUUGAAGAGUCCGGACAACAUAGAUCAUAAACACAUGCACAAGCAUCUCAUAAACAUUCAUAACCUUCACCUAUGUUGCUCGGACUCUUCAAAAAUUUAAUCGGGGUUGUGUCGGAUCCUUCAAAAGUAGUGCAUUUUUGAAGGAUCCGACCCAGGUGCGACAACAUUUUUGGAGAGUCCGAGCAACUUCAUACUGUAUAUUCAAGAAAAGCAAUGUAAAUAUAGAAGCAAGAGACAUUAUUACUCACCAGAGCAGUAGCUUUAAU